This 316-nucleotide ribosomal RNA is filed under the name uncultured eukaryote. RNAcentral describes it as "partial 18S ribosomal RNA". It matches the Rfam family "Eukaryotic small subunit ribosomal RNA", at positions 1470 to 1796 of the family's 1831-position model. The record is from RNAcentral.
CCCUUAGAUGUUCUGGGCCGCACGCGCGCUACACUGAUCGGUGCAACAAGCAUCCGUCCUUGGCUCGAUAGGCCUGGGUAAUCUUUGAACGCCGGUCGUGAUGGGGAUAGAUCCUUGCAAUUUUUGAUCUUCAACGAGGAAUUCCUAGUAAAUGCGAGUCAUCAUCUCGCGUUGAUUACGUCCCUGCCCUUUGUACACACCGCCCGUCGCACCUACCGAUUGAAUGGUCCGGUGAAGCCUCGGGAUUGCGAAUGCUUCGUGCGGACGCGAGAACUUGGCUAAACCUUACCAUUUAGAGGAAGGUGAANUCGUANCA